CAAAGCCAAUCUAGAAAUUACAGAGAUCAGAAAAUGAGGGCUAGGGCAAAUUGUUCGAUUCAAUUUCCUCGAAUCGGUGGUCCUAGAUCUGACGGCGGCUGCGAUCGACUCGGUACUGGGCGCCGGCAAUCGUCACUGAGCUCGGCGCCUGCAAUCGACUAUGUAGUCGGCACGGGCGAUCGACUCGGUACUCGGCACCGACGAUCGAUUCGGAGCUCGGCGCCGGCGGUUGUUUCAGUGGUUCGGUCCGCCGGUUAAGUCGGUGGUUGAAUUCGUCGAUGGCGGUCGAUUCGGAUACUCUAGGGUUCUCGAAGAUGGAGCAGUUAUGCUAUCCUAAAAUCAGAAAGCUCGUUGGAUUUUUGGAAUGUGGCCCAGUUGACCUGCUACAGAAAACAGUGGUUUGUAUACUUGUGGGAGUUGCCGAGGUCUACUGCUACACAGCAAUAUUGGAUAUCUGCUUAAACAAGUGGCAAGAUUUGUUUGCAUUGGGACAAUGGCAAGAUUUCAGGCUUACCAUAAUCUGAUGGCGUUUCGAAGGUGCAGUCAAAUCGGUACUUGGCGGUUGUUUCUGUGGUUCAGUCCAAAGGAUAAGUUGGUGGUUCAAUCCGUCCAUGACGGUCGACCUUGAUAUUCUAUGGUUCUCGAAGAUGGAGCAGGAUACCAUUACUUUGCUGUGCAGCUGUGGGGGUUUCUACUUUCUCGUUCGAAAAAUGCACUUGUUGAGCUAAAGUUCUAUAUUAUUCCUCUUAUGCUAUGACCAUGACAUCCAGUUACUUAUGAUAAAAAAGCCUGUUGGAUAUUUGACAUGUGGCCCAGUUGACGAACCACAGUGGUACUUUGGUUUAUAUACUUGGGAAGUCUCCAGAGGUCUACUGCUACACGUCAAGAUUGGACAUCUGCUUAACUGAGGUGUUCUGAAGUGUCACCCAAGCCAGAGACCAAGCAGAUUUGUUUGCAUUGGGACAGUGGUAAGAUUUCAGAUCAACUAGUCUAGUUGGAUGUUGAAGAUGAUCAGGGUGAGGACGAAGGGUGAAAAACAGUAGAGGGGACCUUCAAGAGGGUGAGGAAAAUGGCAAAACAAUGGGACCUUCGGACUUGUAUGCAGUGCUGCACCCUGCUAGUCAAUGGUUUUUGGGGGAAUUUUUAUAUUUUUUUUUCACUUUAUCAACUGUUUUUAGAUAUGUCAUUGUAAACCAGCAAAUCUGCAAAAUCAUAACAAAA
Long non-coding RNA from Rosa rugosa (rugosa rose), 1221 nucleotides. RefSeq lists it as uncharacterized. The record is from RefSeq and is a predicted model, not a curated record. The transcript has 5 exons. NCBI's taxonomy places the organism in Eukaryota, Viridiplantae, Streptophyta, Magnoliopsida, Rosales, Rosaceae.